RNAcentral lists this ribosomal RNA (253 nucleotides) under uncultured bacterium. Its description in RNAcentral is "partial 16S ribosomal RNA". It matches the Rfam family "Bacterial small subunit ribosomal RNA", at positions 524 to 776 of the family's 1533-position model. The record is from RNAcentral.
UACGUAGGGUGCAAGCGUUAAUCGGAAUUACUGGGCGUAAAGCGUGCGCAGGUGGUUCUAUAAGACAGAUGUGAAAUCUCCGGGCUCAACCUGGGAACUGCAUUUGUGACUGUAGAGCUGGAGUGCGGCAGAGGGGGAUGGAAUUCCGCGUGUAGCAGUGAAAUGUGUAGAUAUGCGGAGGAACACCGAUGGCGAAGGCAAUUCCCUGGGUCUGCACUGAUGCUCAUGCACGAAAGCGUGGGGAGCAAACAGG